RNAcentral lists this long non-coding RNA (1376 nucleotides) under Homo sapiens (human). RNAcentral's name for it is "PREDICTED lncRNA (TCONS_00248728)". The record is from RNAcentral. Lineage: Eukaryota; Metazoa; Chordata; Mammalia; Primates; Hominidae.
AUUCAUUCCACAAACAUUUCUAAGUGUCCAUGGUGACCCAGACAUCAUGGGAACUUCAGGGUUCCAGAGCUGAGUAGAACACAACUCCCAUCCUUAGGGAUUCACCAUCCAGUAGAGGAGAAAGACGUCGAGACAGAAGACAGAAGGGAAAGGAAAAGCUCAAUGCUGUGCCUUCAACUUAGCUUCUCCAUUUUUUGGAGAAGGGUUAAUAGGGGAAGCAGAGAGAGAGAGAUGAGAGACCAAAGUUUCUAGGGCCUUUAUCUCCAGAGCAGAGGGUCUGAAACCUUAGUGAGCAAAAACUGAUCCGGAAGACUUGUUGGAGGCAUACCUUCCAGUUCAGCGAGCCAUUUCAGCAGAUUGGAGAUCCCCUGCCUGCAGCACGUGCUGAUCUCCAAGGGUGAGGCUGGAUGAAGCCAGGGGCUAUGGAAAGGGAGACUGUUUCAGAGGACUUGACACCAUCUUCAGUAAUUUCUCUGGUUCUUGGCAGCUCCAUUUGGCUGCGUCCCUACCCUGCAUAACCCUCCCAGCUAGUCUACUCCAGGGCAGCAUCCAGCUGGUGACCUGAGAGGGCAGUGGCGCACCAGUCUCCAUGAAGGUUGAGCUCCGAUGGCCAACAGCCAUUUCCACCUUGUGGUCUACAACUCUUCAUCCCGACUGCAUGGAGGUUGGUCUCUCUCUUCAGCUGGAUUUAGGCCACCAUCUGAGCCCCCGGGGUACGUUUUGUCUGACCCUGGCGCCAUUCGAACGGUUCUUCUACAGCAUCAGUUCUCUUUCCUGCCACCAUGUGAAGAAGGACAUGUUUGCUUCCCCUUCUGCCAUGAAUGGACAGGGUCCUGCUGUGUUGCCCAGGCUGGCCUUGAACUCCUGGCUUCAAACAGUCUUCCCACUUGGGCUCCCAAAGUGCUGGGAUUAAAGGGGCGAGUUACAGCACCAGGACCUGAAAUGUUAUACACCCCAUCUUGAUGACAAUGCAUUAAUGGGGAUAAAUACUCCCCAGAAGAGCUUCGGCCUGUCCUGAGAUCUGCAACACAAGGAGUUUUUAACCUGGAAAGUGUGCUUAAUUCUUCUACUGCCUCUUCUUGAGGGCUGCCUAAGUACAGAAUGUUUGGUGUCCUGGAGGGUGCCCAGGCUAACAGUGAGAAUUGGAUAGCUCCAUCAGGGCCUUGGGCACUGGGCCUAUGGAGUAGCCUGUACUUCUUGCUCUUUUCAACACUUGAAGGGAGAGGGGGCCGAGUUCUCUCGCAGAGUUGCUCUAUGGCAGUGGCAGCAGCCAGCUGGAUAUCACGGGAAAAUGCCCGCUCCGUGAAACGGUCAUAUAUGCAAAGUAGCCCCCAAAGGCCAAAAGAGCCAAGAAACCAAAGAACAAGCCACACAAC